RNAcentral lists this ribosomal RNA (497 nucleotides) under uncultured bacterium. RNAcentral describes it as "partial 16S ribosomal RNA". It matches the Rfam family "Bacterial small subunit ribosomal RNA", at positions 28 to 507 of the family's 1533-position model. The record is from RNAcentral.
GAUGAACGCUGGCGGCGUGCCUAAUACAUGCAAGUCGAGCGAACGGACGAGAAGCUUGCUUUUCUGAUGUUAGCGGCUGACGGGUGAGUAACACGUGGAUAACCUACCUAUAAGACUGGGAUAACUUCGGGAAACCGGAGCUAAUACCGGAUAAUAUUUUGAACCGCAUGGUUCAAAAGUGAAAGUCGGUCUUUCUGUCUCUUAUAGAUGGAUCCGCGCUGCAUUAGCUAGUUGGUAAGGUAACGGCUUACCAAGGCAACGAUGCAUAGCCGACCCGAGAGGGUGAUCGGCCACACUGGAACUGAGACACGGUCCAGACUCCUACGGGAGGCAGCAGUAGGGAAUCUUCCGCAAUGGGCGAAAGCCUGACGGAGCAACGCCGCGUGAGUGAUGAAGGUCUUCGGAUCGUAAAACUCUGUUAUUAGGGAAGAACAGAUGUGUAAGUAACUGUGCACAUCUUGACGGUACCUAAUCAGAAAGCCACGGCUAACUACGUG